GUACCUUCAAGCUCUGCUUGGUGUUGGGUGUUUGUCUGCAAAGACUCGCCUUAAAGCAAUUGGCAGCCGGCAUAUUGUCUAGGAGCGCAGCACAUUUUGCGCUUGUUUUACAAGAUGUUGGCGUCCACAAGCCUUUUUUCAC
Molecule: unclassified non-coding RNA, 142 nt
Filed under: uncultured Ascomycota
Lineage: Eukaryota; Fungi; Ascomycota
Description: sequence contains ITS2
Source: RNAcentral